GGGGAAUUUUCCGCAAUGGGCGCAAGCCUGACGGAGCAAGACCGCGUGCGGGAAGAAGGCUUUCGGGCUGUAAACCGCUUUCAGCAGGAACGAAAAUGACGGUACCUGCAGAAGAAGGAGCGGCCAACUAUGUGCCAGCAGCCGCGGUGAUACAUAGGCUUCAAGCGUUGUCCGGAUUUAUUGGGCGUAAAGCGUCCGUAGGGGGUUGUUCAAGUCUGCUGUUAAAGCGUGCGGCUUAACCGCAUAUC
RNAcentral lists this ribosomal RNA (248 nucleotides) under uncultured organism. Its description in RNAcentral is "partial 16S ribosomal RNA". It matches the Rfam family "Bacterial small subunit ribosomal RNA", at positions 356 to 621 of the family's 1533-position model. The record is from RNAcentral.